AGAUUGAACGCUGGCGGCAUGCCUUACACAUGCAAGUCGAACGGCAGCACGGGAGCAAUCCUGGUGGCGAGUGGCGAACGGGUGAGUAAUAUAUCGGAACGUGCCCAGUCGUGGGGGGAUAACGCAGCGAAAGCUGUGCUAGUACCGCAUACGAUCUAUGGAUGAAAGCGGGGGAUCGCAAGACCUCGCGCGAUUGGAGCGGCCGAUAUCAGAUUAGCUAGUUGGUGGGUAAAAGCCUACAAGGCGACGAUCUGUAGCUGGUCUGAGAGGACGACCAGCCACACUGGAACUGAGACACGGUCCAGACUCCUACGGGAGCAGCAGUGGGGAAUUUUGGACAAGUGGGCGCAAGCCUGACUCCGAGCAAUCGCCGCGUGCAGGAUGAAGGUCCGUU
Molecule: ribosomal RNA, 394 nt
Filed under: uncultured soil bacterium
Lineage: Bacteria
Description: bacterial SSU rRNA
Rfam family: Bacterial small subunit ribosomal RNA
Source: RNAcentral